RNAcentral lists this long non-coding RNA (229 nucleotides) under Populus trichocarpa (black cottonwood). RNAcentral describes it as "long non-coding RNA (PTRI_LNC002959)". Lineage: Eukaryota; Viridiplantae; Streptophyta; Magnoliopsida; Malpighiales; Salicaceae. The record is from RNAcentral.
GAAAAACAUUAAAUUUGUAAGUUUCAUGGGGCCGGCAAGUGGUGUGUAUUCAGUAGCUGCCAACAGUGACCAUUAUUAUUGCUAGCCAACCCGUGUGAGUUUUGCCCAGUCGACACACGUCUCUCUUUCAUGAAAGUUAAGAGAUAUAUGGCCUUCAGUCCCCCACUAUAUUUGCCUAUGUCUUCUAGUGCAUAAAAAUACUCGUCAUUGCCAAAAACUCUCACACACC